UAGGGAAUCUUCCGCAAUGGGCGAAAGCCUGACGGAGCAACGCCGCGUGAGUGAUGAAGGUCUUCGGAUCGUAAAACUCUGUUAUUAGGGAAGAACAAAUGUGUAAGUAACUAUGCACGUCUUGACGGUACCUAAUCAGAAAGCCACGGCUAACUACGUGCCAGCAGCCGCGGUAAUACGUAGGUGGCAAGCGUUAUCCGGAAUUAUUGGGCGUAAAGCGCGCGUAGGCGGUUUUUUAAGUCUGAUGUGAAAGCCCACGACUCAACCGUGGAGGGUCAGUGGAAACUGGAAAACUUGAGUGCAGAAGAGGAAAGUGGAAUUCCAUGUGUAGCGGUGAAAUGCGCAGAGAUAUGGAGGAACACCAGUGGCGAAGGCGACUUUCUGGUCUGUAACUGACGCUGAUGUGCGAAAGCGUGGGGAUCAAACAGG
This 429-nucleotide ribosomal RNA is filed under the name Actinomycetes bacterium. Its description in RNAcentral is "Actinobacteria bacterium partial 16S ribosomal RNA". It matches the Rfam family "Bacterial small subunit ribosomal RNA", at positions 355 to 776 of the family's 1533-position model. Lineage: Bacteria; Bacillati; Actinomycetota; Actinomycetes. The record is from RNAcentral.